AUGCACGCUGGCGGCGUGCCUAAUACAUGCAAGUCGAGCGAACGGACGAGAAGCUUGCUUCUCUGAUGUUAGCGGCGGACGGGUGAGUAACACGUGGAUAACCUACCUAUAAGACUGGGAUAACUUCGGGAAACCGUAGCUAAUACCGGAUAAUAUUUUGAACCGCAUGGUUCAAAAGUGAAAGACGGUCUUGCUGUCACUUAUAGAUGGAUCCGCGCUGCAUUAGCUAGUUGGUAAGGUAACGGCUUACCAAGGCAACGAUGCAUAGCCGACCUGAGAGGGUGAUCGGCCACACUGGAACUGAGACACGGUCCAGACUCCUACGGGAGGCAGCAGUAGGGAAUCUUCCGCAAUGGGCGAAAGCCUGACGGAGCAACGCCGCGUGAGUGAUGAAGGUCUUCGGAUCGUAAAACUCUGUUAUUAGUGAAGAACAUAUGUGUAAGUAACUGUGCACAUCUUGACGGUACCUAAUCAGAAAGCCACGGCUAACUACGCG
This 496-nucleotide ribosomal RNA is filed under the name uncultured bacterium. RNAcentral describes it as "partial 16S ribosomal RNA". It matches the Rfam family "Bacterial small subunit ribosomal RNA", at positions 29 to 507 of the family's 1533-position model. The record is from RNAcentral.